This is a long non-coding RNA of Bradysia coprophila, 79 nucleotides long. NCBI's taxonomy places the organism in Eukaryota, Metazoa, Arthropoda, Insecta, Diptera, Sciaridae. The record is from RefSeq and is a predicted model, not a curated record.
GUAACUUAAAGACGUUUUGUCAAUUCCUCACUCUUGUCGUUUUCUGAAUCGACAAAAAAAAUUGUCAAUCACUUUUCGA